GAUGAACGCUGGCGGCGUGCUUAAUACAUGCAAGUCGAACGAAGAGCCUUUGCAGCAAUGCGAGGGUUUCUUAGUGGCGAACGGGUGCGUAACGCGUUGGUGACCUGCCCCAAAGUGUGGGAUAACAGUUCGAAAGGACUGCUAAUACCGCAUGUGGUCAUCGGGUUUAGAAGCCGAUGACUAAAGCAGUAAUGCGCUUUGGGAGGGACCUGCGUCCCAUCAGCUAGUUGGUGAGGUAACGGCCCACCAAGGCUUCGACGGGUAGGGGACCUGAGAGGGUGGUCCCCCACACUGGCACUGAAACACGGGCCAGACACCUACGGGUGGCAG
This 330-nucleotide ribosomal RNA is filed under the name uncultured Chloroflexota bacterium. RNAcentral describes it as "bacterial SSU rRNA". It matches the Rfam family "Bacterial small subunit ribosomal RNA", at positions 28 to 351 of the family's 1533-position model. Lineage: Bacteria; Bacillati; Chloroflexota. The record is from RNAcentral.